RNAcentral lists this ribosomal RNA (548 nucleotides) under uncultured bacterium. Its description in RNAcentral is "bacterial SSU rRNA". It matches the Rfam family "Bacterial small subunit ribosomal RNA", at positions 355 to 896 of the family's 1533-position model. The record is from RNAcentral.
UGGGGAAUUUUGGACAAUGGGCGCAAGCCUGAUCCAGCAAUGCCGCGUGAGUGAAGAAGGCCUUCGGGUUGUAAAGCUCUUUCAGUCGAGAAGAAAAGGUUGUGACUAAUAAUCAUAACUCAUGACGGUAUCGACAGAAGAAGCACCGGCUAACUACGUGCCAGCAGCCGCGGUAAUACGUAGGGUGCGAGCGUUAAUCGGAAUUACUGGGCGUAAAGGGUGCGCAGGCGGUUCUGUAAGUCAGAUGUGAAAUCCCCGGGCUUAACCUGGGAACUGCGUUUGAAACUACAGAGCUAGAGUGUGGCAGAGGGGGGUGGAAUUCCAUGUGUAGCAGUGAAAUGCGUAGAGAUAUGGAAGAACAUCGAUGGCGAAGGCAGCCCCCUGGGUUAACACUGACGCUCAUGCACGAAAGCGUGGGGAGCAAACAGGAUUAGAUACCCUGGUAGUCCACGCCCUAAACUAUGUCAACUAGUUGUCGGGUCUUAUUAGACUUGGUAACGUAGCUAACGCGUGAAGUUGACCGCCUGGGGAGUACGGUCGCAAGAUUA